Esox lucius (northern pike) is the source of this 1077-nucleotide long non-coding RNA. RefSeq lists it as uncharacterized. The transcript has 3 exons. Lineage: Eukaryota; Metazoa; Chordata; Actinopteri; Esociformes; Esocidae. The record is from RefSeq and is a predicted model, not a curated record.
UUUUUCCGCAAUGAGACCGGAGCGCUGUGGUCGCUGUCCAAUGUGCACUUUUUGGAUGAAUGAAGUGGGACAAAUCCGUCUGCAUACGGCCACUUUUGUGAGGCAGCUGGCGUGAUGGUUGCUGUAUGCACAGUGUCUUCCAGCUCAGCCGUGGAAGACUGCAACCUCUUUGGAGUUUCCAUUGGCCUCUUGGCUCACAUUUGGGCCAUAUUCUCUCUAUUACUUAAUAAUGGACUUUACUGUGCUCCGGGGGACAUUCAGUGCCAUGUAAAUGUUCUUAUAUCCUAACCCUGAUUGAUACUUUUCCAGAACCUUUUUUUUUUUCUUUUUCAGAACCCCUAACUGCACACAGGUGAACUCCAUUCAAGUAAUUAUAUGCCUUCCAAAGAAAACUGAUUGCACCAGACAGCUCAUUUAGCCUUUUAUUUUUCACUAUGACAUUAUAGAUUUUUUUUGUGCUGAUCAGUGGGAGAAACACAAGAUUGAACCCAUUAUAACUUCAUAUUGUCGUCAAACCGUAAAAUGUGGAAAAGUCCAUGGACACGUUUGAGAGUCACUGUAUCUCCCUUGCAGAUAAAGGGUCUUUUUUCAUUGGCUUUAUAACCUCCAGACAAGCUGAGAAAUUAGUUGGAAUCUCUAAAGUCCCAUUGGAAAUAAUACAGAGGUGCAUGGGUGCCACUUAAAUCUGGUCCCCUGCUCUUUCAACAACGACAAAAGACCUCUCCCCUCCACGCUGUCUCUGAUCAACAACAUAAGAGCACACUGUCUCUGACAGUAAAUUAUGAUGUAUACGUGUGUGUAUAUAUUAAUGUCUUAUUAAUGUCUUAGAAGUUGUUCCUGCUGUUGAUAAUGUCUAUGACUGUCUUAUGCAUUCUUCUCAUUCUUACCAUGAACCACUGAUUUCUGCCACUGGAUAAUUCACACACAUUAUAAGCUAUAGACCACAUUUGCCAUCUUAAUGCAAGGGACUAAAUUCGCUCUUGGGUUUGCUUUUGGAAUAAUAUGAACUUUCAUAGAUAUGUUUGUCUGUUUUUAAUACCCAGUGUUCAUGUUGCCAUUGUAUAGCAUUUUUAAAUA